AGAGUUUGAUCAUGGCUCAGGAUAAACGCUGGCGGCGUGCCUAACACAUGCAAGUCGAACGCCCUUAGCAAUAAGGGAGUGGCGGACGGGUGAGGAACACGUGGGUCAUCUACCUCCGGGUGAGGAAUACCGGCGAGAAAUCGCCGACAAUACCGCAUACGUUUGGCAACAAACAAAGCUCCGCAAGGGGCGCCGGGAGAUGAGCCUGCGGCUGAUUAGCCAGUUGGUGGGGUAAUGGCCUACCAAAGCGACGAUCAGUAGCUGGUCUGAGAGGACGAUCAGCCACACUGGGACUGAGACACGGCCCAGACUCCUACGGGAGGCAGCAGUGGGGAAUUUUGGACAAUGGGCGCAAGCCUGAUCCAGCCAUGCCGCGUGCGGGAAGAAGGCCUUCGGGUUGUAAACCGCCUUUGGCAGGAACGAAACGGCGCGAGCGAAUAUCUCGCGCUAAUGACGGUACCUGCAGAAUAAGCACCGGCUAACUACGUGCCAGCAGCCGCGGUAAUAC
Molecule: ribosomal RNA, 508 nt
Filed under: uncultured bacterium
Lineage: Bacteria
Description: bacterial SSU rRNA
Rfam family: Bacterial small subunit ribosomal RNA
Source: RNAcentral